RNAcentral lists this ribosomal RNA (1503 nucleotides) under Salmonella sp. RNAcentral describes it as "bacterial SSU rRNA". It matches the Rfam family "Bacterial small subunit ribosomal RNA". The record is from RNAcentral. Lineage: Bacteria; Pseudomonadati; Pseudomonadota; Gammaproteobacteria; Enterobacterales; Enterobacteriaceae.
AGAGUUUGAUCCUGGCUCAGAUUGAACGCUGGCGGCAGGCCUAACACAUGCAAGUCGAACGGUAACAGGAAGCAGCUUGCUGCUUCGCUGACGAGUGGCGGACGGGUGAGUAAUGUCUGGGAAGCUGCCUGAUGGAGGGGGAUAACUACUGGAAACGGUGGCUAAUACCGCAUAACGUCGCAAGACCAAAGAGGGGGACCUUCGGGCCUCUUGCCAUCAGAUGUGCCCAGAUGGGAUUAGCUAGUUGGUGAGGUAACGGCUCACCAAGGCGACGAUCCCUAGCUGGUCUGAGAGGAUGACCAGCCACACUGGAACUGAGACACGGUCCAGACUCCUACGGGAGGCAGCAGUGGGGAAUAUUGCACAAUGGGCGCAAGCCUGAUGCAGCCAUGCCGCGUGUAUGAAGAAGGCCUUAGGGUUGUAAAGUACUUUCAGCGGGGAGGAAGGUGUUGUGGUUAAUAACCGCAGCAAUUGACGUUACCCGCAGAAGAAGCACCGGCUAACUCCGUGCCAGCAGCCGCGGUAGUACGGAGGGUGCAAGCGUUAAUCGGAAUUACUGGGCGUAAAGCGCACGCAGGCGGUCUGUCAAGUCGGAUGUGAAAUCCCCGGGCUCAACCUGGGAACUGCAUUCGAAACUGGCAGGCUUGAGUCUUGUAGAGGGGGGUAGAAUUCCAGGUGUAGCGGUGAAAUGCGUAGAGAUCUGGAGGAAUACCGGUGGCGAAGGCGGCCCCCUGGACAAAGACUGACGCUCAGGUGCGAAAGCGUGGGGAGCAAACAGGAUUAGAUACCCUGGUAGUCCACGCCGUAAACGAUGUCUACUUGGAGGUUGUGCCCUUGAGGCGUGGCUUCCGGAGCUAACGCGUUAAGUAGACCGCCUGGGGAGUACGGCCGCAAGGUUAAAACUCAAAUGAAUUGACGGGGGCCCGCACAAGCGGUGGAGCAUGUGGUUUAAUUCGAUGCAACGCGAAGAACCUUACCUGGUCUUGACAUCCACAGAAGAAUCCAGAGAUGGAUUUGUGCCUUCGGGAACUGUGAGACAGGUGCUGCAUGGCUGUCGUCAGCUCGUGUUGUGAAAUGUUGGGUUAAGUCCCGCAACGAGCGCAACCCUUAUCCUUUGUUGCCAGCGAUUAGGUCGGGAACUCAAAGGAGACUGCCAGUGAUAAACUGGAGGAAGGUGGGGAUGACGUCAAGUCAUCAUGGCCCUUACGACCAGGGCUACACACGUGCUACAAUGGCGCAUACAAAGAGAAGCGACCUCGCGAGAGCAAGCGGACCUCAUAAAGUGCGUCGUAGUCCGGAUUGGAGUCUGCAACUCGACUCCAUGAAGUCGGAAUCGCUAGUAAUCGUGGAUCAGAAUGCCACGGUGAAUACGUUCCCGGGCCUUGUACACACCGCCCGUCACACCAUGGGAGUGGGUUGCAAAAGAAGUAGGUAGCUUAACCUUCGGGAGGGCGCUUACCACUUUGUGAUUCAUGACUGGGGUGAAGUCGUAACAAGGUAACC